Molecule: ribosomal RNA, 253 nt
Filed under: uncultured bacterium
Lineage: Bacteria
Description: partial 16S ribosomal RNA
Rfam family: Bacterial small subunit ribosomal RNA
Source: RNAcentral
UACGAAGGGGGCUAGCGUUGCUCGGAUUCACUGGGCGUAAAGGGUGCGUAGGCGGUCGGGUAAGUCUGAUGUGAAAUCUCACAGCUUAACUGUGAAACUGCAUUGGAUACUAUCCGGCUCGAGGAAUGGAGGGGAGACUGGAAUACUUGGUGUAGCAGUGAAAUGCGUAGAUAUCAAGUGGAACACCAGUGGCGAAGGCGAGUCUCUAGACAUUUCCUGACGCUGAGGCACGAAAGCCAGGGGAGCAAACGGG